GAUGAACGCUGGCGGCGUGCCUAAUACAUGCAAGUCGAGCGAACGGACGAGAAGCUUGCUUCUCUGAUGUUAGCGGCGGACGGGUGAGUAACACGUGGAUAACCUACCUAUAAGACUGGGAUAACUUCGGGAAACCGGAGCUAAUACCGGAUAAUAUUUUGAACCGCAUGGUUCAAAAGUGAAAGACGGUCUUGCUGUCACUUAUAGAUGGAUCCGCGCUGCAUUAGCUAGUUGGUAAGGUAACGGCUUACCAAGGCAACGAUGCAUAGCCGACCUGAGAGGAUGAUCGGCCACACUGGAACUGAGACACGGUCCAGACUCCUACGGGAGGCAGCAGUAGGGAAUCUUCCGCAAUGGGCGAAAGCCUGACGGAGCAACGCCGCGUGAGUGAUGAAGGUCUUCGGAUCGUAAAACUCUGUUAUUAGGGAAGAACAUAUGUGUAAGUAACUGUGGACAUCUUGACGGUACCUAAUCAGAAAGCCACGGCUAACUACGUG
Molecule: ribosomal RNA, 497 nt
Filed under: uncultured bacterium
Lineage: Bacteria
Description: partial 16S ribosomal RNA
Rfam family: Bacterial small subunit ribosomal RNA
Source: RNAcentral